UUCCUGGUGGCUCAGAGGGUAAAGCGUCUGCCUGCAAUGCAGGAGACCCGGGUUCGAUCUCUGGGUUGGGAAG
This 73-nucleotide transfer RNA is filed under the name Bos taurus (domestic cattle). It matches the Rfam family "tRNA". Rfam says of the family: Transfer RNA (tRNA) molecules are approximately 80 nucleotides in length. Their secondary structure includes four short double-helical elements and three loops (D, anti-codon, and T loops). The record is from Rfam by way of RNAcentral. RNAcentral also lists the same sequence under 3 other names. Lineage: Eukaryota; Metazoa; Chordata; Mammalia; Artiodactyla; Bovidae.